RNAcentral lists this ribosomal RNA (253 nucleotides) under uncultured bacterium. Its description in RNAcentral is "partial 16S ribosomal RNA". It matches the Rfam family "Bacterial small subunit ribosomal RNA", at positions 524 to 776 of the family's 1533-position model. The record is from RNAcentral.
UACGUAGGGGGCAAGCGUUGUCCGGAAUCAUUGGGCGUAAAGAGCGUGUAGGCGGUCCGGUAAGUCAGCUGUGAAAGUCAAGGGCUCAACCCUUGAAAGCCGGUUGAUACUGUCGGGCUAGAGUCCGGAAGAGGCGAGUGGAAUUCCCGGUGUAGCGGUGAAAUGCGCAGAUAUCAGGAGGAACACCCAUAGCGAAGGCAGCUUGCUGGGACGUUACUGACGCUAAGGCGCGAAAGCGUGGGGAGCGAACAGG